AACGUAGGAGGCGAGCGUUAUCCGGAUUUACUGGGCGUAAAGCGUGUGCAGGCGGUCGGGUAAGUUGGAUGUGAAAGCUCCUGGCUUAACUGGGAGAGGUCGUUCAAUACUACCGGACUAGAGGAUGGGAGAGGGAGGUGGAAUUCCGGGUGUAGUGGUGAAAUGCGUAGAUAUCCGGAGGAACACCAGUGGCGAAAGCGGCCUCCUGGCCCAAACCUGACGCUCAUACACGAAAGCUAGGGGAGCGAACGGG
RNAcentral lists this ribosomal RNA (253 nucleotides) under uncultured bacterium. RNAcentral describes it as "partial 16S ribosomal RNA". It matches the Rfam family "Bacterial small subunit ribosomal RNA", at positions 524 to 776 of the family's 1533-position model. The record is from RNAcentral.